Long non-coding RNA from Phyllostomus discolor (pale spear-nosed bat), 93 nucleotides. RefSeq lists it as uncharacterized. The record is from RefSeq and is a predicted model, not a curated record. The transcript is spliced from 3 exons. Lineage: Eukaryota; Metazoa; Chordata; Mammalia; Chiroptera; Phyllostomidae.
GCACUUUGGUGUGUGGCCAGGAAUUUUUAAAACAUGCUAUACCUGACUACUCUUAGCCAGGGGCACUGAGGUCUUUUCCUUUAGAUUGUCAAA